AGGCCCGAAGCUGGGCUGGAGUCUAUCCCUUUGCCCGGACUGGACUUCAGUGUUGUGGUACAAGAAUUUAUCACCCUGUAGUGUGAUUUAAGUCACACCUUGGCAGGAGUUACUUGGUGGCGUUAUUUUCUAGGAGCUGCCUGGCUCAGCCAUGCCUAACUGCCCCAGUUGCCCCGGGCAGAUCCCCUUGCUUAGGAGCUCUCCGAAGUGACCGGAGGAUCCCGAGGUGGAGCAUGCGGGAGUCGGGUUCGCCGUUCACGCCUGCUGCGGGGCUCGGUGCGCCUUGCAGAGCGGCCGCCUGCAGCUUGCAGCGCACCUGGGCCCGACUACCUGAUCCCGCCUCAGAGAGGGGCCCAGGCCUGGACCAGGGGCCCGAGCGCUGCCCGCCUUGGGAGAGCGUCGGGAGGACGCUGCUAAAUCCCCUUGCCUUCUGCCGCUCUGAGCUGUUGCACCUAUGUACUGAAACCUCUGAACUGUGAGCUAAAUAAACCUCCCCUUUACUUUGGGUGUUGGGUAUUUCGUCUCAGCAAUGAGAGAGGAAUAACUAACACACCACUGAUCUUUUCAGAUGAUAGGGCCCAGCAUUUGAGAGGCUGAGGCAGGAGGAUCACUAGGAAUUUGAGGCCAGCCUCAACUAUACAGAGAUGCUGUCACACACACACACAAAGAUGGUAGAAAAUAGUGAGAGUCUGGGUACCUCCCUGUUAGAACUUAGUUCCUUAAAAGGCUUUGCUCAAAGUUGAUGAGAGAGAAAAGCCAGACAGCCGGGCAUGGUGGCACACUCCUGUAAUCAGGAGGCUGAGGCAGGAGGAUCACUGAGUUCAAGGCCAGCCUAACCUGCAUAGUAAGACCUUGUCUCAAAAAAAAAAACGAAAAAAGAAAAACCAGAAACUCCCCUUUGAGCAAGCAGAAACCUAUUAAAUGAAAUAAUAAAGUUUUCUACACAGUGGCAACAAAAGCCAUAAAAUACGUCAGAAUAAACCUCAUCAAGUUACAAAAUCUUUAUGAUGAAGUGUGGCUGAACUGCAGAAUAAGGCCAAGUGAAUGGAAAACAGAAGUUACUUUCUCAGGGAUCGAACUCAGGACCUUGCCCUUUCAAGGCAGGAGGCGACACGGCUGAGCUAAAUCCCUGGCCCCACACAAGCAUUUCAGAGAUUCUUUUUUCUCCCUUCAGUAGCCACUUCCUUCCUCUGGCCAAACAAGGGAUUUUUCUCCAGUCUUCAUGAGGCCCUGGUGGGGAUCUGGAGGUAAAAAUCCAAGCAAAUGUGGCUUCCGCCGAAAUCAAGGUCCCUGGAAAUUUUUGAC
RNAcentral lists this long non-coding RNA (1305 nucleotides) under Heterocephalus glaber (naked mole-rat). RNAcentral's name for it is "lncRNA (ENSHGLG00100048246.1)". Lineage: Eukaryota; Metazoa; Chordata; Mammalia; Rodentia; Bathyergidae. The record is from RNAcentral.